AAUUAAAACCGUUCCCAGGUGUCUGAAACAUCCUGAACAUGAUUCGGAGUCACGAUUAAAAGUGAAGAAAUGGAUAGUAGAAACUUUGCUUCGUUUUUGGCUUCUACGGAAGAGCCGAAUGAUGCUCGUUCGCCUCGGGAUUUUUCUGGCUGUCAGCUUAUUGACGUUUACUGUCAAAGUAAACGCGUAAUAAAACGGCAACUUUGACUUCCAAAGAACAAGGGGCAUCUGUACAUCUGACAUUUACAGAGGAGAUUAAGAAAAACAGUGAAAGCGCCAGCUGCAUCGUGAAUAGUAAACAUUCAUCAGUGCCACGUUCGAUUAGGAUAAAAAGCUUUCAAGCUCUUGAGAAUAAAGAGGCACUUCCUCACGUCUGAUGUGUUGUAUUACCCCACUCUUUUUUUUUUUUUUAAUCAAUACCAGGUCUCGCACUAAAGCCUUUUAUUAUUCAUCUGCAAAGAAAAAAAACUAAAUAGCACUAAAGGUGUUGUCUGUGCUCCAAUUGGUCUUGAGUCAAUACGGCAGUGAAAGGCACACGAGUCAUCUCGAGGGGGAAGAAAAAUAAAGUGAAAGGCCCGCGGCUGUUUUCCGACGGGAGCGUCGCAGAGGCAAAAGCAUUUGCAUGCGAGGUAUCAACAGGGAAGGUGGGGGACGAGGAUGCAAAUAAUAAGUUCAGCGAGUUCGACUGAACAAGCUGCUUGGCUGAUUAGUCGCUCAUCAAAAUGGAAUUUUCCGUUUUGAUGUUGGACCCCGACGCCAAGAUACAGGUUUCUGCACUGCUGUUAUGACCAUGUGAACAAGCCCCUCAUUGGAUUUCAAGAAACACCUCCAAGGUCUCCUGAUGUAAGACGCUUGUGAAAUGGGCCUGGCUUGUAAGCUUUCACAAGCACUUUCCACAAAACAGAUAAGCGUGUUUACGACGCUCGGGAUCAACCGUGGCGGAGGGAGGAGGGUCAGUGAAUGUAAUGCAAGACGGAGAGACGACGUGCGCAUCUCGUGGAGCCUCGCACGAUAUCUUCAGGUGUUGAGCGAGUUGCUAUGGCGCAUAAAACAAACACUCAGUGCACGCCAUGACACACCUCCAUGCGACGGAGCGUCACAAAAACAAAGUCAU
This is a long non-coding RNA of Syngnathus acus (greater pipefish), 1114 nucleotides long. RefSeq lists it as uncharacterized. The record is from RefSeq and is a predicted model, not a curated record. Lineage: Eukaryota; Metazoa; Chordata; Actinopteri; Syngnathiformes; Syngnathidae. The transcript has 3 exons.